GAACUGAGUUCUCUACAAGUCUACAUAUUAAAGAUGCGACACUUGUAUUCUUAAAAAAUCCAUUUCUGAUGUUUUUUUUUUAAUCCUGAUGAAACGUCAACAAGUCCUUGCACACGAGAGAAAAACUAGGAAAGAACAACUACUACGGUUUUCAUCCAUGCACUACAGGGAUAGAUGAAAGUAGAAGUGUCGUCAACGUUUUCUAGAGGACCCGCCAUCUUAUACUAUGCUAGCAAGGUUUCUGAUAUGUGACUGACAUGUAAGAUGUCAAAGUGGAAUUGUAAAUGUUGACGAAGACAAAAGAUACCAAACACCACGUCGCAGCGAGAAGUAUCUGAGAUGAUUGGCGGGACGGAAAAUUGC
Molecule: long non-coding RNA, 363 nt
Organism: Daphnia carinata
Lineage: Eukaryota; Metazoa; Arthropoda; Branchiopoda; Diplostraca; Daphniidae
Exons: 3
Source: RefSeq, a predicted model, not a curated record